AGCGGAGGAAAAGAAACUAACAAGGAUUCCCCUAGUAACUGCGAGUGAAGCGGGAAAAGCUCAAAUUUAAAAUCUGGCGGUCUUCUGGCCGUCCGAGUUGUAGUCUGGAGAAGCGUUUUCCGCGUUGGACCGUGUACAAGUUUCCUGGAACGGAGCGUCAUAGAGGGUGAGAAUCCCGUCUUUGACACGGACCCCAAUGCUUUGUGAUGCGCUCUCAAAGAGUCGAGUUGUUUGGGAAUGCAGCUCAAAAUGGGUGGUGAAUUCCAUCUAAAGCUAAAUAUUGGCGAGAGACCGAUAGCGAACAAGUACCGUGAGGGAAAGAUGAAAAGCACUUUGGAAAGAGAGUUAAACAGUACGUGAAAUUGUUGAAAGGGAAACGCUUGAAGUCAGUCGCGUCGGCCGGGACUCAGCCUUGCAUCCGCUUGGUGUUCUUUCCGGUCGACGGGCCAGCAUCAGUUUUGCCCGCGAGAUAAAGGCGGAGGGAAUGUGGCUCUCUCGGGAGUGUUAUAGCCCUUCGUCAGAUGUCGCGGUUGGGACUGAGGAACUCAGCACGCCUUUAUGGCCGGGGCUCGCCCACGUACGUGCUUAGGAUGCUGGCGUAAUGGCUUUAAACGACCCGUCUUGA
Molecule: ribosomal RNA, 625 nt
Filed under: Stereum sp. MG283
Lineage: Eukaryota; Fungi; Basidiomycota; Agaricomycetes; Russulales; Stereaceae
Description: eukaryotic LSU rRNA
Rfam family: Eukaryotic large subunit ribosomal RNA
Source: RNAcentral